This 883-nucleotide long non-coding RNA is filed under the name Brassica napus (rape). RNAcentral describes it as "long non-coding RNA (BNAP_LNC005727)". The record is from RNAcentral. Lineage: Eukaryota; Viridiplantae; Streptophyta; Magnoliopsida; Brassicales; Brassicaceae.
AUAUUUUAAGCCAAUGAGUCUCUCCAUUCUGCAUCAUAAUUAUAAUAAGUAGAUAUUAUUAGUUUACUUCGCAAGCAAUAAAUCAUGUAUAUUUGUAUGGGUGAAUUUGCUGAAUAUUCUUAAGAGGCAAGAAAAUGAAGAAUAUAGCCAUUAUACUCUAAUUCAAGAUGGAUUGGACAAUUUGCGCAAAACAUGACCAAAAUCUCCCUUCAGACGUGUGCGCUUGAUGUUUUAAUGCAUAAGAUAAAAUUAUCAUACUAUUUAGUAUAGGCACACGAAUAAUUUCACUCUAACUAUACUAUAUUUCAUUUAGAAUAGUAUGGCAAUUGAUGUUGGGUACCGACGUAAUGAAACACAACCAAAUAAACCCUAAACCCGCUACCUAAACCCAAACUCUAAACACUAAACCCUAAACCCAUACCCUAAACUCUAAACCCAAACGGUAGACUCUAAAACCCUAAACCCAAACCGUAUACCCUAAACCCAAACCCUAACACAAAUCUUAACCCAAACCGUAGGGAGCUACCAGAACCCUAAACCAUAAACCCAAACCCCAAACACAAAUUUUUAAGCCAUACCCAAACGGAGCUACCUAAACCCUAAAACCCCCUAAACCCAAAUUCUAAACCCUAAACCCAAACCGUAAACCCUUAACCCAAACCCUAAACCCAAAUUGUAAAACCAAACCAUCGCCCAUAAUAGAGCUACCUAAACCCUAACCUUGAAGGUCUAAACCCUAAACCCAAACCGUAGACCCUAAACCCAAACCCUAAACACAAAACCCCCUAAACCCAAACUCCAAACUCUAAACUCUAAACCCAAACCGUAAACCCUUAACCCAAACCCUAAACCCAAAUUGUAAAACCAGACCAUCGCCCAUAAC